UUCAAGAAUAAUGUUCCUUACAUGGAACUGCAGUUUGCAGAUUUUCAAUCACAUGCAUCCAAUCCAGUGCAGCUUCAAUUCUACCAGGAAGCUGGAAUCAAGACAGUAAUAUGUAUGGGGUGUAGCAUUGGAGAAAUUGAGGUUGGAAUGACUUGUAGCCCUCAAGUAA
Non-coding RNA from Nicotiana tabacum (common tobacco), 169 nucleotides. NCBI's taxonomy places the organism in Eukaryota, Viridiplantae, Streptophyta, Magnoliopsida, Solanales, Solanaceae. The record is from RefSeq and is a predicted model, not a curated record.